GAUGAACGCUAGCGGGAGGCUUAACACAUGCAAGUCGAGGGGCAGCACGAGGUAGCAAUACUUUGGUGGCGACCGGCGCACGGGUGAGUAACGCGUAUGCAACCUACCCUGUACAGGGGGAUAGCCCGGAGAAAUUCGGAUUAAUACCCCAUAAUGAUAUCGAGAGGCAUCUUUUGAUAUUUAAAGUUUCGGCGGUACGGGAUGGGCAUGCGUGACAUUAGCUAGUUGGUAGGGUAACGGCCUACCAAGGCUGCGAUGUCUAGGGGUCCUGAGAGGGUGAUCCCCCACACUGGUACUGAGACACGGACCAGACUCCUACGGGAGGCAG
Molecule: ribosomal RNA, 328 nt
Filed under: uncultured Bacteroidota bacterium
Lineage: Bacteria; Pseudomonadati; Bacteroidota
Description: bacterial SSU rRNA
Rfam family: Bacterial small subunit ribosomal RNA
Source: RNAcentral